Long non-coding RNA from Mytilus californianus (California mussel), 2030 nucleotides. RefSeq lists it as uncharacterized. The record is from RefSeq and is a predicted model, not a curated record. The transcript has 2 exons. NCBI's taxonomy places the organism in Eukaryota, Metazoa, Mollusca, Bivalvia, Mytilida, Mytilidae.
UAUUUGUACUGCAAGUCCAAAAAUCAAUAAAUUGUCUGAAACCAGGGAGUCCAUCUUUUAUGCUCUUCCAUUGACUUAGCUCCCUUGGGUAAGAUCUCAAACAUGUCAGCUCCCAGUGAUGGUUUGGCAGACAAAUGUUUACAGUGAAGUUUGUGACUUUAAUAAUCUAGGAUGAGCAUGUGGGCUAUCCCAGCCUUAUACAUCUACAUAUUACAAACUAUUUAAGAUAUCUGAAUGCACUAAAGACCAAAAUAGCAUUUCCAAAAAAAAUAAUUAGUAAUUACUGCCAAGAAAUUUGACAAUCAUGACAAUAAUUUAGUGAAUAAACAUGAUAAAUAUUGAUUGGAAAAAUAAGUCCAUGAACAGCAAAAAGUGUUUUUAGAUUUCAACGAGCAAAACAAAAGUAUUCUAAAUCAUUCUUCGUAAAAAAAAAAAGGUGAGCGAGUGGAACCACCUUGCUCGCACCAGAAUUGAGAUUGAGAGUGUCAAAACUGCUCUGGCGCACCAUCAAUAAAUCAACGACACUCUCUCUACCGUGGUAUUGAAACCAGCAUUUGUAACCAAACAUAUUCAUACAGAUACAGACUACCAUUCAUCUACAUUUAGGAAGUCUGAAUAAUACUGAAAACUAUGGUGUAGAAUUUCCAACAGGACUCCUUAUUUUAUAUAAGACAAGGAGUGGUUUAUUUUCCCAUGGUUGUUACAUCAUCUUGUCUUUGAAUAUGCUCGAAGUACAGGGACUUUUAUGGAAUUCAUUGACAUGAUAGUCCAGCAAGAUGUCAACAUCUCGUCCAACCCUCUUCCAGCAAAGCCAAAGCUGACCAAGGAUCUUCACCCUUUCAAAAUAGGCUGUAUACAGGACAAGUUAUUCCAGUAGGAACAGAUCUAGACUCGCAGCUAACCUUUCUGUCAGUGUCAACAACAACUGAACUUUCACAGCAGUCAACAUCAGAUUGGGAGACUGAUAAUGCUUCUAACAGAAACAAUUUCAACCAACCAAACAAGCAACAGAAACUUUCCAACUUUAAAACAUCAGUUAAAUCUUCCAUGGGAUGAUGUCUCAAAAAAUAACAUUUCAUCAUUUAUGGAGAUUUUAAUGUUAUGGUUUUUCUUUUACAUGAAAGUUAAUGUACACUUGUUUUAUAGUAAAACCUAUAGCCGUUCAAGUAUAAAAAAACACAUUCAACUUAAUUGAAAUUUGAAGAUUCAUAUGACUUAUUUUAAUUCUGUUAUCUCCGAGGAUGUGAUGUAGAGCAUUAUAGGUACAGUAAUCUUAACAGCUAUCCAAUUUCAUUCAAAAUUCUUUAUAAAUUUUGCACUGGUAUAUAUAGACUAAGUAAUUUGUUUUUCGUCUAGUUAUGGGAUUUUUUUUAAGAAGCAUUUAUGAUUUUCAUGUUUGUAUUGACCACAUGUCAGGCAACAUAGAUAUAGGUACCUGGCAAAUCUUGCCUUGCUAACAUACUAGGCUCAAAGGGUCAUAAAAAAAUGUCCAUCACUAAGUGUCUGUUGAAAUCAUCUGUUUACAGUUUUCACUUUUAAACCAUCAUCUUAAUAACUUUAGAAGAAGUGUCAUACAUAUAUAUAUGUAUACAAAAUUUAAAAACUUUUCAAUAUAUAUAUAUAUAUAUAUAUAUAUAUUGAUAAAAACUAUCAACAUGAUAAGAUCUAAAUACCCAAAAUUUCCAGAAAAAUUGGACAUAACAUCUAUGAGCUAUUGUCCCUGAAAUGUGUAAAUUUACAAAUUUUCACAGCUUUCUGCUACUAUCCGACAACUAUAUCAAUAUAUUAUAAGAAUAAAUUGCAAAGGUGGUCAGAAGAAACUUUUUUUUUACAGUCUGAACUUAUUCUGAAUUGUUUAACUUCUAAUUUAAAUUGAUUGCGUUUGAAAUAUGUGUUUUUUAUCGUUUUAGGUGCACAAUUUGUCAAUACGAUCUAUUUCGGCUCCUGGGAGCCUCUAGAUUUAUAAUGAAUAAAUUGUUUUUAUGUAUGAUUAUUUUCUUAAUGUAUUAAAUGAAACAUUAAUUAUUCUU